This 268-nucleotide unclassified non-coding RNA is filed under the name Hevea brasiliensis (rubber tree). The record is from RNAcentral. Lineage: Eukaryota; Viridiplantae; Streptophyta; Magnoliopsida; Malpighiales; Euphorbiaceae.
GUCGAUGUUUCAGUUGGCAUCAGAAAGUAUCUCACACCAAUGUACAUUGCAAUACUAAUAACAGUGAUAGUAACAGGAGUAGCAAAAACUAACAAGUUUUUGGUUGGCUUGUUGUCGCGUUUUUUGGAGAUGGAUUGAAAUGAGUGAGCAGACCUCUCGGAUCGAUUGUUCAUGAAGGAAGAAUAGGAAGCAACCUCUUCUUUGGUAAGUGCUGGCUUGAGUGACUUUUUGACUGUUUGGAAGUGUCUAUCAGAUACAACUGUUGCAG